AGAGUUCGAUCAUGGCUCAGGACGAACGCUGGCGGCGCGCCUAACACAUGCAAGUCGAACGGGGUUAUGCCGAAUGAAGUUUUCGGAUGGAAUUUGGUAUAACCUAGUGGCGGACGGGUGAGUAACACGUGAGCAACCUGCCUAUCAGAGGGGGAUAACGAUUGGAAACGAUCGCUAAUACCGCAUGACAUAGCGAAACCGCAUGGUUUUGCUAUCAAAGAUUUAUCGCUGAUAGAUGGGCUCGCGUCCGAUUAGAUAGUUGGUGAGGUAACGGCUCACCAAGUCGACGAUCGGUAGCCGGACUGAGAGGUCGAACGGCCACAUUGGGACUGAGACACGGCCCAG
RNAcentral lists this ribosomal RNA (345 nucleotides) under uncultured bacterium. Its description in RNAcentral is "bacterial SSU rRNA". It matches the Rfam family "Bacterial small subunit ribosomal RNA", at positions 8 to 334 of the family's 1533-position model. The record is from RNAcentral.